UUGCAGACCACAGAUGACAUCCUGGUGGCCUCGGCUGAAUGUCCUAGCGAUGAUGAGGACAUCGAUCCCUGUGAGCCGAGCUCAGGUGGGUUAGCAAAUCCUACCAGGGCAGGAGGAGGAAGGGAGUACCCUGGCUCGUCUGAGGUGAUUCGUGAAUCCAGCAGCACAACAGGCAUGGUAGUUGGGAUCGUGGCAGCAGCGGCACUGUGUAUCCUCAUUCUCCUGUACGCUAUGUACAAGUACAGGAAUCGAGACGAAGGAUCGUAUCACGUAGAUGAGAGUCGAAACUACAUCAGUAACUCAGCACAAUCCAAUGGGGCUGUGAUCAAGGAAAAACAGCCCAACAGCGCUAAAAGUUCCAACAAAAACAAGAAAAAUAAGGAUAAGGAGUACUAUGUCUGAUCUCAACAUCUAAAAGAACGCUUGUAUAGAAAUAGUCUUCAUUUUAUCUGAGACAUAAUACAAACUUAUUUACUUUACUUUUUAUGAAGCACAUUCAAAAACAAACAAACAAACAAGACAGGGAAUGCAAUCAGAAAGGAAAGACUGUUUUUAAAAACAAGCAUUUCAUGCUCUUGUUUUUCAGAAACAGGAGCUGAUAAAUUCCCUAACAUUCACAGUGUUUUCAUUUACUCUGCCUGUCUUUAUGUUGCUGGAACAUUUCUGAAAGACAAUGAUGACACCACGCAUUCAUAAAGCAAGGAGUAUUACUACAACAUCAAGGCACAAUAUGAAACAAAAUAAAUUAAAAAAAAAACAAAACAGGAAAAAAAAAGAAAAAAAGAAGCUACCUAUGAUUCUGGAUUUAGCCAAAGUGCUAGCGCUUUCUUGAGAAGUAAGUUAGUCUUAUUGUCAGAGAAGACUGUCAUUAUAUAUGGUGACUCAACAAGCAAACAUAAAGAGUUUGCCGUCUGGUGCAGUGAAGCAGUGAUUGGAAACUUGCAUUUGAAACAAAGUGCUGGCUUUUCUGAAGACUUACGUAGAAAUACUUUCAAAAAGCCCCUUUCUGGUUGUGAGGAAAAUAGUACGGAGGCCUUAUUUUCAAAAACAAAAACAAAAAUCUGGAAUAUAAGGCACAUUUCCACAAAAAAAAAGAAAAAAAUAAACAAGAGGGCAUAGAUGCAAUCAUUGGGAAAUUUUCAUGCACGCUUAAUAUGUUAUUACAUAUGUUUAUAUAAAAACACAUCUAUAUGUGCUUUCUGGACUGUGAUAAGUGAUGUUUUAUAGCCUGUUGUAUAGAAAAUGCAAACUAUAUCUGCUCUUCAGCCAUUUUUGGUAAAUUCAAUGUUAUAAGUGUUGCUAGGUAUAGAGAGUUUUAUGACAUCUGGAGCAACAGACAUACUUCAUUUUUUUUGCAGCCAUUAUAAAUUGUCCCAGACUUCUUCCCCUUUUUUUUUCUGGGGUUUUUUUUUGGGGUUUUUUUUGGUUUUUUUUUUUACAGUGUAGUGGUUAUACUAAGGGGGAUGUGUAUGAAUGUAUAUAAGAGUCAGCUAAUUUUUUUCUUACCUGUACAGCCUCUAUUCUGUUGCAAUUAAGUUUUAGUAGUUUGUAUGAAAGAAGUGGACUAGAAAGCAAAAAUAUCUCUCUACUGUAAUUUGUCUUCUCCCUCCUAUCCCCAUCUCUUGCUCCUGAUAUGCAUCAAUGAAGUUGAUCAGAAUGGCCAAUUUUCCUAGAAAAAUACAUUCAUUAAUUAGCUAAAUAUUUAGUGACUUAAACUGGCCUUUGGCUUCCAGUCAAAGCUUCACUAUUGGAGAGCAUGGUUUGCCUUACAGAAACCUUGUUCUUAAGAAAUUAUGAGAAUGAUGAGUUUCUUGAGAAUCUUAGGAAGUAUCAUAUAGUGUUUAUCUGGCAUUCAGUUAUAUGAACGACAGCUACUACAGCAUUGGGUGGUAAAAGAUCUAAAAAGACCCAUUUUAAUUAUCCAGGCUGAUUCUACUGCAGAAUUUACCCCUUUCUCCAAAAUGGAAAGAAUCUUGAGGUGCACGAUAAUAUUUUUCAAUGGUGGGCAUUUUAACAUACAAAAAAGUAUUUUUAGCUAAGUUGAUUGUGUAGUAUUGCAAGACAUCAUAACCAGACAAAUAUAAGUUCAUCAUGUUUUAAAGUAACACAUAGCUUUUCUUGCAUAUAUAAAACAUUAAUGCAUUUUAGUUAAACAUAUUCAAUAUAAUGCUGUAAUUUACAUGUUAAGGUUUUUUUCUAGUACUAUUUCAUUAGUUUCACAGCAAUAAAUCAUAGCAUAACAUUUUAUUUACAUGGAAGUUCAAAGGGAAUACAUUAGGCAGAAAGAGGGUAGUUCAAUAGAAAUCAACCAAAUCAUCAGAAGGCCUCCUGGGAGGGAUAUAGAUGUUCACACUUUACAGACAGGAAGGAGGAAUUUAAAAUUAGCUUUAAACAGCAGGCACAAAACAUUUUAUGUGUGUAAUUCACUGUAGCUGAUUAAAAAGGCUGGAAACUGGUACAGCUAUCUAUCUGGGAGUCAGAGCACUUUAAAAAUACAUGUAGCUGACAUGAAAACACCUCUCUUUCUUGAAGGUUGCCAACCACAUUGAGAUGUGUCAUGUUGCAUUUGUAAAUCAUUUUCUUAUUUUCAUUAACAUUUACACAAAAAUGAGAACAGGUUACAGAAUCCAUCUGACAUUCAUUCCUUAGAUUGUUAUUUACCUGUGGUAUUCCUAAUAUCUCCCACAUUUACAAGACAGCUGUACUCAGGGAACAGCAGGGUCAGGUAUACUGGAGGUCAUUGCUGGAAGCAAGAGACUUCAGCUGGAGGGGGGGAAAGAAGAAGUUGAAAGCCAGGUGGUGUUCAGAUUUCAGUGAUUAAAGAUAUGUGGAAGAACAAGAAUAAUCUGAUGACAGGAGAUUGGACAUGAUGGAAUAUGGUUUGGGCGAGAUGAAAUGGUCUUUUCUGCUUGGUAUUGAUUGCAUUAAUGAAAUAGCAUGGUCAGGUCAACUUCCAGGCAGUUCGGUAGAUUAAUCUUUAACUAAAUCCAUACAUCAAGGAAAAAAAGAUCUGCUACUACAAUAAGCAAACAUGAUUUUAACACUGUUUCUGAAGGUUCUCCUUUUUCCUCUUUAAUUUUAUAAUUUAACAAAAAACAAAUAUGGAUGUAUCAGAAGUGCCAGCAAGUGGAUUUAAAAUUCCUUUUUGUUUAAAAACAGCAGCAACAACAAACAAACAAACAGACAUAAACCAACUACCUAACAUAAAAUUGGAUCCUUUCUCUAUAAUAACCUAAUUUGUUUGACUGAGAUGGCUUCAUUUCUAUGACUGUAUUGUGUUGCCUUUUUUAACAAAACACUAAAUAACGUGUGAAACUUUCAACCCUAAGACAUCGAAGAGAGGCCCAAUGCCCCUAACCUUAUAGUGCUUUCUGUGAUAGAUAUUUACGAUUUUUUUAUUUGUUGCAAGGCCAAUUUAUUCAUUAUUGGAAAUGCUAAGCAAGUGGAAUUUACUGUUUUGUUAAUAAAAAUGUUUCUUAAUACAAA
Non-coding RNA from Balearica regulorum gibbericeps (East African grey crowned-crane), 3486 nucleotides. The record is from RefSeq and is a predicted model, not a curated record. NCBI's taxonomy places the organism in Eukaryota, Metazoa, Chordata, Aves, Gruiformes, Gruidae.